GACGAACGCUGGCGGCGUGCUUAACACAUGCAAGUCGAACGGAAAGGCCCUGCUUGCAGGGUACUCGAGUGGCGAACGGGUGAGUAACACGUGGGUGAUCUGCCCUGCACUUCGGGAUAAGCCUGGGAAACUGGGUCUAAUACCGGAUAGGAGCCAUUUUUAGUGUGAUGGUUGGAAAGUUUUUUCGGUGUAGGAUGAGCUCGCGGCCUAUCAGCUUGUUGGUGGGGUAAUGGCCUACCAAGGCGGCGACGGGUAGCCGGCCUGAGAGGGUGGACGGCCACACUGGGACUGAGAGACGGCACAGACGCCUACGGGAGGCAGCAGUGGGGAAGCUUGCACAAGGGGCGCCAGCCUGAUGCAGCGACGCCGCGUGGGGGAUGACGGCUUUCGGGUUGUAAACGCCUUGCGCUAGGGACGAAGCUUUUUGUGACGGUACCUAGAGAAGAAGCACCGGCUAACUACGUG
RNAcentral lists this ribosomal RNA (465 nucleotides) under uncultured bacterium. Its description in RNAcentral is "partial 16S ribosomal RNA". It matches the Rfam family "Bacterial small subunit ribosomal RNA", at positions 28 to 507 of the family's 1533-position model. The record is from RNAcentral.